CUCUCCGGGCCCACCACAAAGAGCUUGAAGAACGUUACCCAUGCGAACGCGGUGCCCGCCUCGCCGAUGCGAUACAGGUCCAAAUACGAGCUGCGAAGUAUCAGUUUGGAGGGCAACAAGGUGCUACCAUGGACCGCGAGUUUUUCGGGAAAAGAAGAUCUUAUAGAUGCUCCUGAGCAUCGACAUCUGGCUAGUAACUGUGUUUCAGUACUGAUAAGAAGUGUCAGCGCGUAGCUCAUAUGAGCUAGAAAUAUUAAAUUUAUGCAGAAAAUUUAUGUUAUUCAACGCCAAAAUGCGUUGCAGACCAAAUAGGCUUAUCUUUAUCUUUAUUUUUAAAAUGUUAGAUACUGAAAUGAGAUUAUACAGCGUUAGACGGCCAUAAUUUGCUUACAUAAAGAAUUUAUGUAUACAGUUUUAUAAAAAAAAUAUUUUUCCGUAAAUUUAGAGGAAAAAAUAUCGAGAAAAUACUAAUAUCAAUUUAACACUAUUUUAUCAAAACUCAUACAUAUAUUGUGCUCUUUAAAUGACUAAAACAAUAUUUUGCUGAAAUUUAAGAUUAUCAAAUUUUUUAAAGAAAGUUUUAAAUUAUAUAUAUAUAUAUGAACAAGAUUAUCAUUGUUUCAUAUACAAACAUAUAUAUAUAUAUUUUUUUUUAUACAGGUAACAAUUUUUUCUACAUGUUUAUCAGUGUUAAUGUAUGAACCCAAGCAGAACAAUACGAUAACAUCAAAAUGAUAGUCACAUAAAUCGUGACUAAUCAAAAAGUGACUUUUAAUACUUAUUUUGAAAUCAUUUUGACAUUUUAAUGUCACAAUGACUUUUUAUUUUGCUUGGGAAUAUUACAAAGGAUUGGUUAUUUUUAUCCCUGGCUACGCUGCUUUUAUUAAUUAUCAUCAAAUAAUAAUAACAAUACAAUGCGCGCAAUUAAAAUGAAUAUUAAUAAUUAUAUAUACAGUAUAAAAUAAAGCAAAACUUCUCCCCUCGAAGAAUGAUAUACAUAGAAAUAAAAAAUUUACUUUAUAUUAAAUAAUAAAAUAAGUACAAAUUGGACAUAAUAACAAAAGUUUUUUUUUUUAAACAGAAAAAAACAUAAUCAAGGGAAAAAUAAGUUGUUGCUCUAAUAAACCUUAUCUCUGAAUUAUUCAAGAGUAAAAAAGAGCUUACAGGCAGAGAAAGACUUCGAAGAAUAAGAAGCUAAAAGUUUCAGUCUUAAUCCCAGGAACUGGUUAGCCUGAUACGGUUGACUAUCCGGCGUGGGUUCGCGGAAGCGUGCGCAUCGUAUAAUAGUCACUUCAGUGAAAUCAAUUUUGUGGGUGCUUCACCUUGAGUUGUCUUGUAUUUGGAACAGAUACUACCGCGACUUGGAAGUUUAAUGGCUCUGAGAUUAAAGCAUUAAAGGCACGAAGCCACAAGCGAACCAAUCAAUCCGGUAUAAAACCGAACAGUCGUGGUCCUCGAAAUUGGUUUACCGCAACCGCCGCUGUCGCUCGCUGAUAUUGAUUGAUGAGGAAGAGGGUUUUCGAUCCCCCGCGACCGCGAUACACAAGUCCGCUUCCGCUUAAUUAUUUAAUCGCAGAGACGAGACAAAUCUCCGAGCCUUCCGCCCCGGAAUUGCAAAUCGCCAAUGAAUUCUUAAUCAUCAAAGUUACGUUAAACAUUAAAAUCACUGCUUGUUUUAGAAACGUUGAACCAAUUGCAACUUUCAUCAACUUUUUUCCCUUGCUGUUAAAACAAAUUUUUUUUUUAUUGAUAGCAUUUUUUAUCGCGUUCUCCUUGGUUACUUAAAACUUUAUAAUCACGAAGAUAAUAUUAGCUGUAUUAUAUAACUGGGAAAUAAAGCUUUCAUAUUAACUGACAGGACACUUCCGUCGGAUCUUUGAAUUUUACUUUGAUUACUUCUGUUUUUAUUUAAUUACUUGCAUAUGCACUUAAACGUAAUCGAUACGAUGUUAAUAAGGGUUCGCGGAAUAUUCGAAUGGCGUACGUUUAAAAGGGUAUCGAUCAUAAUAUUAUUAUUUUGAUAAGAAAUUCUUCCGAUUUAUUUUCUCUCAAAACAGCGUAAAUUACCAGUGACUAAAAUUUGCGUAUACGUUCGACAGAUAAUUUUCGCAAUUGCCAAUAACGUAUUCACAAUUUCAUCAUUUUAUUAUGAUUUCAUUAUUUUCCUAAGAAAAAGGACGCGGUAUCGUUCUACAUCUCUAGGACUUUGCUCGACCUUCUCAAGUAGCAGUCGGUUAUUUUUAUUCCCAAAACAAACAUUCGUACGAUAAUACUGACAUUUGACAAACAACGUCGGACAAUGAUAAACAAUGUGCCAAAAGGAAUUCGGCGGAAACUUUUAAUUAGCGAGCGUUCGAGCAAGUGAUGACUUUGUAACCUAAUUAGUUGCGUAAUCCCGAUCGAUGGGUAUCGAAUGGAGCGUUAACCGUGCUUCUUAAUUGAGCCAAAGUCACCCGAUCGUGCGAAUGCCAUUAGCGCGGGAUAAAGCGCCGACCGCGAUAAUCGGCAAUGAGCGGCGCGGAUUGCGGUGUGCAAAAUCCAGGGCGGAUGCGGAUGCUCUUUAAUCUUCCGGGCGAUGACGUGCGUAAAUCUGCGAUACAACGUGCAUUAAAUGAUUACGAGUGCAGUACUCUCAUAACGCCCCGUACGAUUUACGAGCGGCCGGUUGAAAAUAAUUUGAAGAUGUCUUACGAUUUUACCGAGAGAGGGAGAGAGAGAGAGAGAGAGAGAGAGAGAGAGAGAGAAAGAGAGAGAAUAAUGUGCGGCAUCGGGCAAAUUAUUCUUGGCGUAUCAUUCGACCGCACGCGGCCGGGCACGUGCCAGAUACGAUGUGCUGUAAAGAUAUACCAAAACGAUAGACCCCUUCCCUAGGGAUCCACCCCAUUAUUUCUGAUCAAUUUGCGAAGUUAACGUUCCAAGACUGUCGCGUUAUCGUUCGGGCCCACACGCGGGUACGUGCGGCGCUCGCCCGUUCGACACCAGCUCCGACAUCGAUUUUUAAUAAGCCAGCUACAGGCGCAUUAAUUAGCCUCCCUCGGCGACCGGAGCGUGCCCGAAUUAAUUCCGCCGUCGGAACGUUUUCCGUAAUGCAAUCGUGCGACGAUGUCGCCCUUUCGAUCGUUACGUUUAAUAUGCAUACGUAAUCCUCGACUUAGCACCCAAGUGGAAGGAAAGAUAGCAGUUAAUAGAGACGAAAGAAAGGGGGGAAAAAACUGCGUGACGCUGUACCUUGAGUGCCUUGAGAAGAGGAUGAGGUGUCCAAUGUCAAAUAUCAAUUUUCGAAUGUCAGGAAAACGUUUAGCGUGAUCUCCACGUUGACGAAUAGCGAGAUAUUAUACGGAAUCAAAAGAAGCGCGAAUUUUGUUAUUAAACACCGAUAAAUAUUCAACAGCGACACGGCAUUCGUUACUGCGGUUCCCGUAAUUAGCUAUAAUUUAUAAUUAACGUUUUAUGAUUCAUGUUUAUUCAAUUGCGCCUGGAUGUGCUACAAUUUAGAAUAUUACAUUGCGAAAUCACAGCGGCAAGACACCCCCCCCCCCCCGUUUCAAAUUUUACUACUGCUCUUUGCUAUUUCUAGCAAAUUCUAUUAUUACUUUCGACUAUUGUGUUACUACACACACAGAGAUUGUAUCGUACUUGAAUCGUUCGAAAUUUAAUUGCUUUAUCCGGCAACGAAGCGUUCAAGCGAGACACGGCUCUUCUUUAUGAUCCACUUCAUUUCUCCGCGGGGAUAAUGAGAUUAACCCUCCCUGCAAAGACGCGUGAGCUACCGAAAGCAGGUAUGUUUCGCCAUGAAAGGUUCCUCCUGGCGUCACAAUGUUAUAAUGUCAACGGGGAGACGUGCUCCCUUCGAGCGCUUAUCAUAUGUUUGCGAUAAUCCAUGCGUGAUAUCGUGAAAUAU
Long non-coding RNA from Monomorium pharaonis (pharaoh ant), 3901 nucleotides. RefSeq lists it as uncharacterized. The record is from RefSeq and is a predicted model, not a curated record. The transcript has 2 exons. NCBI's taxonomy places the organism in Eukaryota, Metazoa, Arthropoda, Insecta, Hymenoptera, Formicidae.